CAGCCGUAAACUAUGCGCGUUAGGUGUACUGGUGACCACGAGUCACCGGGGUGCCGAAGGGAAACCGUGAACGUGCCGCCUGGGAAGUACGGUCGCAAGGCUGAAACUUAAAGGAAUUGGCGGGGGAGCACCACAACCGGGUGGAGCCUGCGGUUUAAUUGGACUCAACGCCGGAAAUCUCACCGGAUAGGACAGACAUAUGAUAGUCGGGCUGAAGACUCUACUUGAUGAUCUGAGAGGAGGUGGCAUGGCGUCAGUGACU
Molecule: ribosomal RNA, 262 nt
Filed under: uncultured archaeon
Lineage: Archaea
Description: partial 16S ribosomal RNA
Rfam family: Archaeal small subunit ribosomal RNA
Source: RNAcentral